GGGAUUGUAGCUCAGUGGUAGAGCACUUGCCUUCUAUGGUGAGACACAGGGUUCAAUCCUCAGUACCA
Molecule: transfer RNA, 68 nt
Filed under: Ictidomys tridecemlineatus (thirteen-lined ground squirrel)
Lineage: Eukaryota; Metazoa; Chordata; Mammalia; Rodentia; Sciuridae
Description: Spermophilus tridecemlineatus (thirteen-lined ground squirrel) tRNA
Rfam family: tRNA
About the family: Transfer RNA (tRNA) molecules are approximately 80 nucleotides in length.
Source: Rfam by way of RNAcentral